ACUCCUGCGGGAGGCAGCAGUGGGGAAUAUUGGACAAUGGGCGCAAGCCUGAUCCAGCCAUGCCGCGUGAGUGAUGAAGGCCCUAGGGUUGUAAAGCUCUUUCACCGGUGAAGAUAAUGACGGUAACCGGAGAAGAAGCCCCGGCUAACUUCGUGCCAGCAGCCGCGGUAAUACGAAGGGGGCUAGCGUUGUUCGGAUUUACUGGGCGUAAAGCGCACGUAGGCGGACUAUUAAGUCAGGGGUGAAAUCCCGGGGCUCAACCCCGGAACUGCCUUUGAUACUGGUAGUCUUGAGUUCGAGAGAGGUGAGUGGAAUUCCGAGUGUAGAGGUGAAAUUCGUAGAUAUUCGGAGGAACCCCAGUGGCGAAGGCGGCUCACUGGCUCGAUACUGACGCUGAGGUGCGAAAGCGUGGGGAGCAAACAGGAUUAGAUACCCGGGUAGUCCCAUG
This 448-nucleotide ribosomal RNA is filed under the name uncultured organism. RNAcentral's name for it is "partial 16S ribosomal RNA". It matches the Rfam family "Bacterial small subunit ribosomal RNA", at positions 335 to 799 of the family's 1533-position model. The record is from RNAcentral.